UACGUAGGGUGCAAGCGUUGUCCGGAAUUAUUGGGCGUAAAGAGCUCGUAGGCGGUCUGUCGCGUCUGCUGUGAAAACUCGGGGCUUAACCCCGGGCCUGCAGUGGGUACGGGCAGACUAGAGUGCGGUAGGGGAGACUGGAAUUCCUGGUGUAGCGGUGAAAUGCGCAGAUAUCAGGAGGAACACCGAUGGCGAAGGCAGGUCACUGGGCCGCAACUGACGCUGAGGAGCGAAAGCAUGGGGAGCGAACAGG
This 253-nucleotide ribosomal RNA is filed under the name uncultured bacterium. RNAcentral's name for it is "partial 16S ribosomal RNA". It matches the Rfam family "Bacterial small subunit ribosomal RNA", at positions 524 to 776 of the family's 1533-position model. The record is from RNAcentral.